CUCUCCGGGUCCCGCGGCGCCCCGGCGGAUAAUGGCCCAGCGCUCCGGACCCGCUCCUGCGGCUCCUGGAGGUCACUGCGGUGCCAGGGUCCUGAAUCAUGAUGUUGGAAUGUCUGAAGCUGGUGAUGCGAGUGCAGCAUUCUCUUCACCUGUCUCUGCUGGACUAAAAAUGGCACACUCCUCAGAGGAGGCACAGUGACGGGGGGUUGCACUGGACCAUAAGCGCUGGAGUCUGGAUUCAGCCGUGAUGGUAGCCAAGGGGCCGUCUGAUCAGCAAGCCAGUGGAGGGUGGUUUUUUUGCAAAGAGCGAAGCUGAAUGCAGGUUCCGCUGGGCAAGUGAAACGUUAUUAAACCCCAUGCGCUGCUCUGUCCAUUGGGGUGAGCUGCUCCCAGCCUAACCCCCCAGCGUCCCCCGUUUUAUUGAUGGGCCAGCAAUACUCCCAGCCUAACCCCCCAGCGUCCCCCGUUUUAUUGAUGGGCCAGCAAUACCAGUCCCCUGAUUCCAUGCUCACUGAUCAGGGGCAUCAUCAACCCUGUCCCCAUCUCAUCCUACGCUCUCCCAGCCCCGAACACCAGCCCAGCUGCAGAAUAACGCCUCCCUGUAAGAUCCAAUUUACCGUGCGCUGCGGCCACCGGGCAGAGACACUGCGAGAAGAGAAUCCCGUUCAUUUCUCUGUCGCUUCUGGCUCGGGCUUGUCACAGGCCCAUUGGGCUCAGUACAGCACUGGGCAGCUGGUUGGAUCAGCAGGUUGGGCUGGCUCUCGCAAGGUCUAUAUCCAGUUUGGGGGGGUCACAGGGGCAGACGAGAGCAGACACUUGCUGCUUCUUUGACACAUGCUGCUAUUUAUCUCCUGUGCGGAUGCUCAUCAGGCCUCAUAAGCAGAGGACACACACGGUCCAGCCUGUUCAGGUGUUUCCCCACCUGCAGCCGCAUGCUUUUGAAGUAUGCUCCCGUUGAAGCAGCUGGGAUGGUUUUCAAGACGGGUUGUUUUUCCUAAAAGAUCUGUUCCCCCCAAGAAUGAUUUCAGGGCAUGUUAUCCAGGAGGUCAGACUAGAUUACAGUGGUCCCUCCCAGCCUGGGAAUCUACGACACUCGGAGGCCGGGGGGAGGAGAAUCAGGCCCCGGUGCAGUGAGAGAACAAGCUGUAUUUCUCAGAUCGGUGCUCUGCCCUGUGACUCUGGAAAGAGAGAGAUGGGCCGGCGCAAAGGGAAUUGCAGCCGUGUUCCCCAAACCGGUGAGCGGCGCUUUGGAAGAUACAAGGUCGAGUGCAAUGGGCAUGGGAUAGGGAGUCCGCUCCCAGAUCGGGCAGGGAGCGGAGCUGUGAGAUAGCUGAGCGAAGGGUUCACGCCUCUGUCCCGGCAGCUGUUCCUGGGCAGAACGGAACAGCUCAGGGAAAAUGGCUUAUGCGUGGAACAUAAAGGAGGCUGGGAGUGCAGAGGUGAGGGCCACCCCUGCUGUCUCUGGGCUUUCCCCCCAGCUCCAUUCUGGCACCUCCCCUGUUAGCAAUGUCCGUAGCUUCACGGCGGAGCUCAGAGAGCCUGAAUCUCGGGGCUGGGGUUGCCAGCUCUGCUCCGCAGG
Caretta caretta (loggerhead turtle) is the source of this 1579-nucleotide long non-coding RNA. RefSeq lists it as uncharacterized. The record is from RefSeq and is a predicted model, not a curated record. Lineage: Eukaryota; Metazoa; Chordata; Testudines; Cheloniidae.